RNAcentral lists this long non-coding RNA (4652 nucleotides) under synthetic construct. RNAcentral describes it as "ncORF64-AS01". The record is from RNAcentral.
GACUGUUUAUGGCACAGAAUGGAUCACAGAAAAGGUGCUUAUGUAGUACAUUGGGUCCCCGACUGGUGAUGAUUUCAGCCAGGUCUGGAUCAUCUAUGAGCUUAGAGGUGGUGUACAUCAUCAGGGUGUAGGCGGUUCUGUCUAGCAAAGAGGUGUUAUUUUCCAGGCAGGUCAUCCAACUGUUCGCUGACCCUGGGUAGGUGGAAUGUGCGCAGGUAGUAUUUUACAUUCUGAUCGAAAGUCUCGACCCAGUCACUGUUGGGCGCGACGUAGCGUUGCCCCUGUGGUAACUGAGAUGCUAACAGAGGGGUGAGUAUGGAAUCCACGUAUGCAGUCAACCCCUGCAAAGCUUUCAACAGUUCUCCUCCCAUUUUGGUGAACAGUGCAGAUUUGUGAUCAUUGAAGACUGUAAGGAGUACUUGCCAGUCUCCUGGCGCAAUGUGAUGAAAUGUCAGGUCCCUCAGGUUGGUGAGGAUCUUGUCCCAGGUGGCCUUAAUCUUGAGAUCAAUAGCACGUUCAAUCUCUGCAGUGGAUGGUACAGGUGUGGUUUCUGUCUCCAUUUCCUGCUCCUUGAUGAGGUCAUCUCUGAAAUGUUUGAGCUGGCGCGUAGCAUAUGACCUUGCUGUUUUGGUUGGAGCUUUAUCCAGGAACAGAUUGAGGUCGUCAAUAGAGGCCGGAGUAAAGUCAGCCACGUCCUGCUUCCAGGCUUCUAGUUGUUUGUCAGUUUUGAUUUUUGUGAGGUCACGGACCUCGGAUGUGAUAAUCAAGUAUAUUUUGGUUUUAAAUGAUUUAUCAAAUUUGUAUUGUCUGAUCGAUGAUUUGAUAUACUUGAAGGUUGUGAGGCCCUUUUCCACACACUCCAUAUCAUCACAGUCUACAAGUUCUUCUUGAACGGCCAUGAUGGAUUCCAUGGUUUUUAUCAGGUCUUCUCGUCCAGGGAUGUCAGCUAGUCCCAUCAGACUGUUUAGGGAGUUGAAGAAAGUGUUUGAGAGAUGGUUGUGAGAUCUGGCAUGGAUGCUGCUCAGUGCUUCGUUGAUUAAGGAGUUGGUGAUUUGGAUCAGAGACAGAUUCAUAGCUGCGAGUGAGAGCUGCCCCUGUUCUGUUUUUGUGGCAGCUUGCAGCUGGGGGAUUACUUCUGGUAAGGUCCUGAUGUUUAUUUUCUGUAGCAAUGAUUCUAUGUAGGAUGUUGAUGUUGUCAGGGUCGUGACUUGGGAUUGAAUUUCAACCAGCCUGGGGUCUGAUGCCUGUGCCAAGACAGUAGCAUUUUUUAUGUAAUCUGAUAAGGUAUUUAUGAGGGCAGGUGAGGCGGCCUUGUCCUGUAUUGCCUUGAGCGUCUGGUUAAUUUCACUCAGAAUCUUGUCCAGGGAUUCAGAGUCUGCCAUUUUCUUUUUGAGGUCGUUUAAGUGGCUGGAUGUUUUCUGGAAGAUGUCCAGGACAUGCACUGGUUCCCUGAAUGCACGCUCGGGCCAUGUCUCAUCAAUAAUCUUUGACAGCUCUCUGCCAAUGUAAGACAAUUGUUGUUGACUACUGUCAAUUUCUGGAGUUCUGAUUUCUGCCCUCUCCACACAGGCGUUGAUGACUGUGAGCAAGGUAGUGACAUUUUUCAGUAGCGUCCUCACUGGGGGCACGAAGGUUGUUUCUAUAGCAUUUUCUGAGGGAAUGUUGCUGAUUAAUUCUGAAAGGGUCUCCACGGUGUCCUUUUCGAUGGCCUUGACAGCCUCCUGGAUAGCACUUGAAAGUAGUGGUGUGCGGGUUUCUGUUUCUAGAUAAAUGGGCCCCAGGGAGGCGGGUGGAUCGGUGUUAUUUAAAACUGAAAGCAUCAAAGCCUUGAAUCUGGCAUCCUGCUCACUUGUUAGAGCCAUGUUGUUUGAGACCACCCUUUUUAGGUCCUGUACAGUCGAGACCAGAUUAUUGGCCUCUUCUACCGAGCACACACAAAAAAAAUCUUGGGGGAAGGACUCGGUGAAGGUCGUGAUGAUAUCCUUUAUGUCAAGGCUACUUUUGCUUAUCUCCAGGGCGCGGGUGAGAUUUUUACAGUGGAGUAGGAUUUUUUGGAGGUCCGUCGCGCGGUUAGCGUGCAUGGCGGGUAGGCACGCGCAUACUUUGGCCUGGACAUGGUCUGCGAGGUUUGGGUCUGAUAUGAGAUUAUUUUUUAGCAGGGUGAACAGUUUUUCAAUUUGGAGGUUUGAAUUAAUUAACAGUUUGAUAUCAUCAUUUUUAAUUUGUAGCUGCUUGGACCACGCCAUUAGAUAAUUCAGAACAUUCAAGGCCUCGGUGGGAGUGUAGUCGCUGUCUGAAACCACUCCAAUCUCUAGUACCUGUUGGAGGACAUUCUUGAGCUGAUGGAGAGCCCUGGUCAGGCGAUAUGAUUCUCCAGUAUCAGUGUCUACUAAUGCGGGGAAUGAUGGCACAUGGCCAGGCAGAGUCAGGGAAUUUAAAAGCUGGUCCACGGCAGCCAGGUUGGGGAGGGUGACGCUUGGGAGGGACGUCCCAGACCUGUCUGGCUCGGCCUCCCUGUCGCCCUCGCUCUCGUCCUCCAUAUCAUCGUCCCCAGUAAGAUCGAUGACGUCAUCGUCCAUCGUUAAGUCAAUUAUGUCUGGAGAGGGUAGAGGGUGUGUCAUUUUCUCUGGAGGGGUGCGCCCAGAUUCUUUCCUCUUUUUGUUGGCAUCAGUCCACUCCUCCCCACAGCUCAUAGGAUACCUCUUCCUCUUUGCCUUUGACAUGUAUUUCAAGAGGGAGCCCACUUCUGGGUCAGGCGACGAUGACGCCUGUGGUGACGAACAGAAACUCUGGUUGGUGGUUGGUAGGUCAUAUUCUUCCAAGAUUAUUUUUGAACCAUGUAAAUCAGAAAAGGAGAUGACUUUAUAGUGAGACAUGAUGUAAUUUUUGGGAGAAAUGUGUCCUGGUACAAAAUAUAGGAAGCACGCAGUAUAUUCGCGGGACACGCCCCCGACAUAUUUUAUCAGAGCAUCUGGAUCAGACGUGCUGAGUACGUGGGCUGGACUCUCAGGAAUGUCCUUUAGACAGUGUGGAUCAAACAUGGUGUACCUGCCCCCCUGGAUGAUUAUGGCCCCAGAUUUUUGUCCACAGAUGUACAAAAUAUACUGGAUAGUGUUUGAAUAAUUGGCCGUCAGCAGGUCACGCAGGGACGUGAUGCAGGAGUCAGAAAUGUCAGCUGGCAUGCCAAGCAGGCCAAACAUUUCAGCAGAGGUAUAGAUGAACCCAGACCACUUUCUUGUUUGGACAUAGCAAGGCACGUGGUCCAGCUGGGCAUAUUGGCCAGGAGAUAAGAGGCCCAAUUUUCUCAGAUUGCUGUCUAACUCUGCCCCAAACUUUAAAACUUUAUUAAGGUCGUGGGUCUCGGUUAUGGGGGCUUCAUUGUUGAAGUAGGAAGACAUCAGGUAUAUGAUACAGUUGCUAAGACACUGAGCCCCUGCAUUUUCUCCAAAUUUACAAUCUGCCUGAUUGGUUGAGGCUGUACCUUCGAUGCGAAACCCAGCCAAAGAAGCAGGCAGGGCCAUUAUGAUAGCAGUUUUAUUAUGUCAUGAAUUUUUACAAUAGUGUAGGGGCACUCUGCGUGCUCGGCGGUGUAGGUUUGUUGUGUAAAUAUUUGCCAGUUAACAUCCAGGGGUAUUCUGUCAUAAGUGCUGGAAUAUUUUUUCAGUUGGGGUGGAUGUUUCUCACCACGGGCAGCGUUUUGGCUAAAAAUCUGGGGGUAGGUAGAAUAUAGCAUGGUUAGGUCUUCAUCUGUGGGGUUUCCCCCAGCCUGGGUCAUUGACGUGUCUGUGGGUGGAGCCAUCAGAUUUACUGGAAUUUCUUUAAGAUUUUUGAUAAUUUCCACAUUUCCAGCCGAUGCCGCCUUUAAGAUUGUGGGGGUAAUGAUUUCCUGGGAAAACAGGUCAUGAAACCUUUUUCUUAAGCAACUUGAACAUCCUUUCGAGAGAAGGGAUAGUCCAGAGCUAAUUCUGGAGAGUAUGCCACUGAAGGACUGUUUGAGUUGGUUCCAAGGUUCGGUGUCAAAUUCUAUCCCCAACUCAUGCUGUUUAUAUGCCUCUAGGUCUUGAAGAAGUGAGAGCACCGUGCUGUAUUCCCCCCUGAGUUCACCCUCCAGAUCUGUUAUCUCCAUCAGGAGCUGACUGUGAUCCUUUUCCACCUGGCUAAUCAGACUCUUGAGGGUCUCCAAGUGAACUUCCAGAAUCUGUCCACUGGAGGACAGUAUGAUCCAGGGCAUGGUCCAAGAGAUUCUUCAUGGCAGAAGGUUUAUUGGUCCCGUUGAUGAUGUCGAGCAGCUCAAAGUAGAACAUGCCCAGCGGUCUGCGGAUCUCCUGCAGCUGGGGCGUGUCGGUGAUAGCGAAGCUCAGCAGCCAUCUUAUUUGGAAGAGGGCCCGGUUUCUUGACGUCUUUCUGGAAAAUAUCCCCUGUAUGGUGGGACCAACGAUGUGUCUGAUGAAGUACUUGUAAAACAUUUUAUGGGAGACCAUGGCAGGCUCGUAGGAUAAGUCCCCGACAGGCAUUCUUUUACAGUAGGCCGCGACCCUCUCUUCGGAAACCUGGUGCUCGCAAGAGGGUUCCAUCAGUGGAUUCUGGGUGAUGAGGACAAUGCCCCAAUUCCUGUUUACCCAUGAAAAAAAUAAAGUUCUCAUGAUAUCUGA